Molecule: ribosomal RNA, 486 nt
Filed under: uncultured bacterium
Lineage: Bacteria
Description: partial 16S ribosomal RNA
Rfam family: Bacterial small subunit ribosomal RNA
Source: RNAcentral
AUUGAACGCUGGCGACAUGCCUUACACAUGCAAGUCGAACGGCAGCACGGGUGCUUGCACCUGGUGGCGAGUGGCGAACGGGUGAGUAAUACAUCGGAACAUGUCCUGUAGUGGGGGAUAGCCCGGCGAAAGCCGGAUUAAUACCGCAUACGAUCUACGGAUGAAAGCGGGGGACCUUCAGGCCUCGCGCUAUAGGGUUGGCCGAUGGCUGAUUAGCUAGUUGGUGGGGUAAAGGCCUACCAAGGCGACGAUCAGUAGCUGGUCUGAGAGGACGACCAGUCACACUGGGACUGAGACACGGCCCAGACUCCUACGGGAGGCAGCAGUGGGGAAUUUUGGACAAUGGGCGAAAGCCUGAUCCAGCAAUGCCGCGUGUGUGAAGAAGGCCUUCGGGUUGUAAAGCACUUUUGUCCGGAAAGAAAUCCUUGGCCCUAAUACGGUCGGGGGAUGACGGUACCGGAAGAAUAAGCACCGGCUAACUACGUG